Molecule: ribosomal RNA, 496 nt
Filed under: uncultured bacterium
Lineage: Bacteria
Description: partial 16S ribosomal RNA
Rfam family: Bacterial small subunit ribosomal RNA
Source: RNAcentral
AUGAACGCUGGCGGCGUGCCUAAUACAUGCAAGUCGAGCGAACAGAUGAGGAGCUUGCUCCUCUGACGUUAGCGGCGGACGGGUGAGUAACACGUGGAUAACCUACCUAUAAGACUGGGAUAACUUCGGGAAACCGGAGCUAAUACCGGAUAAUAUAUUGAACCGCAUGGUUCAAUAGUGAAAGACGGUUUUGCUGUCACUUAUAGAUGGAUCCGCGCCGCAUUAGCUAGUUGGUAAGGUAACGGCUUACCAAGGCGACGAUGCGUAGCCGACCUGAGAGGGUGAUCGGCCACACUGGAACUGAGACACGGUCCAGACUCCUACGGGAGGCAGCAGUAGGGAAUCUUCUGCAAUGGGCGAAAGCCUGACGGAGCAACGCCGCGUGAGUGAUGAAGGUCUUCGGAUCGUAAAACUCUGUUAUUAGGGAAGAACAAAUGUGUAAGUAACUAUGCACGUCUUGACGGUACCUAAUCAGAAAGCCACGGCUAACUACGUG